AAGGCAUUUAACUAGAAGCUUAAUAGGACGACUUCUUUGUCAUCUACAAAUUUGCAAUGGCAACAGCAAGUGCAAGUGGAUUUGCUAGUUUUGUCAGUGAAAAACGAACAGAAGCUAAUUUUGAAAAGUGGAAGGAAUGCUUGAAACACUACUUGAUUGGUCAAGACUUAGGGAGUGUAGUGUUUGGAGAGGAAGAAAAACCCCAAGAAAAUGAUUCCAACUACAAGGAUUGGGUCAUGAAGAAUUCUAUGGCUUUACAUGCCAUUGAAACAUCUUGUGGGGCAGAUACCAUUUCAAAUUUGAUGAGGAAGUACCCAGAUGAAGUUGAUUCUGCCAAAUUUGUUU
Molecule: unclassified non-coding RNA, 345 nt
Filed under: Hevea brasiliensis (rubber tree)
Lineage: Eukaryota; Viridiplantae; Streptophyta; Magnoliopsida; Malpighiales; Euphorbiaceae
Source: RNAcentral